GACGAACGCUGGCGGCGUGCCUAAUACAUGCAAGUAGAACGCUGAAGGAGGAGCUUGCUUCUCUGGAUGAGUUGCGAACGGGUGAGUAACGCGUAGGUAACCUGCCUGGUAGCGGGGGAUAACUAUUGGAAACGAUAGCUAAUACCGCAUAAGAUUGACUAUUGCAUGAUAGUCAGUUAAAAGGUGCAAUUGCAUCACUACCAGAUGGACCUGCGUUGUAUUAGCUAGUUGGUGGGGUAACGGCUCACCAAGGCGACGAUAAAUAGCCGACCUGAGAGGGUGAUCGGCCACACUGGGACUGAGACACGGCCCAGACUCCUACGGGAGGCAGCAGUAGGGAAUCUUCGGCAAUGGACGGAAGUCUGACCGAGCAACGCCGCGUGAGUGAAGAAGGUUUUCGGAUCGUAAAGCUCUGUUGUAAGAGAAGAACGAGUGUGAGAGUGGAAAGUUCACACUGUGACGGUAUCUUACCAGAAAGGGACGGCUAACUACGUG
This 495-nucleotide ribosomal RNA is filed under the name uncultured bacterium. RNAcentral describes it as "partial 16S ribosomal RNA". It matches the Rfam family "Bacterial small subunit ribosomal RNA", at positions 28 to 507 of the family's 1533-position model. The record is from RNAcentral.